Molecule: transfer RNA, 72 nt
Organism: Microdochium bolleyi
Lineage: Eukaryota; Fungi; Ascomycota; Sordariomycetes; Xylariales; Microdochiaceae
Rfam family: tRNA
About the family: Transfer RNA (tRNA) molecules are approximately 80 nucleotides in length. Their secondary structure includes four short double-helical elements and three loops (D, anti-codon, and T loops). Further hydrogen bonds mediate the characteristic L-shaped molecular structure. tRNAs have two regions of fundamental functional importance: the anti-codon, which is responsible for specific mRNA codon recognition, and the 3' end, to which the tRNAs corresponding amino acid is attached (by aminoacyl-tRNA synthetases). tRNAs cope with the degeneracy of the genetic code in two manners: having more than one tRNA (with a specific anti-codon) for a particular amino acid; and 'wobble' base-pairing, i.e. permitting non-standard base-pairing at the 3rd anti-codon position.
Source: Rfam
UCCCGUAUAGUGUAACGGCUAACAUACCGCGUUUUCACCGCGGAGCUCGGGGUUCGAUUCCCCGUACGGGAG